This 344-nucleotide long non-coding RNA is filed under the name Solanum tuberosum (potato). RNAcentral describes it as "long non-coding RNA (STUB_LNC010747)". The record is from RNAcentral. Lineage: Eukaryota; Viridiplantae; Streptophyta; Magnoliopsida; Solanales; Solanaceae.
UUGGAUUAUUUUUACUUUAUCUAUAGAGAAUAUAAUUAAUUCUAUUUUAGGGUCUUCUUCUUUUAUAUUUUCUAAUUUUUGUGUAAUUUUUUCACUUCCUUUUAUCCAUUCCGUUGUUUUUCGUUUUUUAUUGUUUACUCUUUUUGCUCCUAUUUUUUGUUUACAUGGUGAUGUGAACCACCAGUGUGUUUUUGUUAUUAUAUGUGGGUAUAAUUUUUCUAAAAAUGGCAUUCCUAAUAGCAUAUCUUUUGUAGUCAAUUCAAAGUUAUAUAUUUCUUCUAUAGUUAAUAUUUUAUCCCAUAUUUGUAUUUUUAUAUUUUUUGCCUUAUAUGUGAUCAUGCUUC